AUAGGCUCAGUUCGAAAAGAAAACAGCAGAGAUGGCUUUCCAACGGUCCUCUCGUUUCCACGCGUCCGCCACCUCCAACGGGCCAAUCCAUGGCCGGCGCGCCGGCGCUGCCCAAACCCAGCCCCAGCCACACCCGUCGGGCGAUUACCCCGAUCUCCGACGGCCAGAUAGAGCCCAUACUCCAUAUCCCUCCUACCGUGAGGCCCUGGUCGCGGGGUUCUCUGCGGACGUGCCUCUGCCCGGUCGGUCCUGCCCUGCUUCGGCGGAUCUUGAACCGGACGAGGCGGGUUGGAUUCAAGUUCGCAACCGUCGCCGUCAGCGCUGUUUGGAGGAAUCCCCGUCCGCCGCGUGCCAACCUGUGCGCUCCGGGUCAAGGAUUCCGCGGUGGUUAUUGGGCAGGUGCUUCAAGUGCUUGGACUCGGGCCACCGCAUUGCUAAGUGCACAGGGGAGAUUAGGUGCCACCGCUGCUGGCUCCCAGGUCACAUAGCUAGAAGUUGCCACUCCCACCAAGCUGCUGCUCCCCCUGUUCCACUCCCUCCCAGUUCCGCAAAUAGUCGCGCCGCCUCUGGUCGUCCCGUCCAGAUCCACGCCCCUCAUCGUCGGCCGCCUCCGCGCGAUAUGGCACACUACCCACCCCUCGCCCAGUCCCGCUUCCCUGGGGAGCUCUACACCCAUGGGGACCCGGAUUUGCGGCCAGAAAGGGGUGGGGGCAUCAUCUCGCGCUCUCCGGGGAUGGACGCUCUGGAAGCUGAUUUCAGGAAUCGAGCUUUGCUGGCUUCGGUUCAGGGGCGGAGGCCAGCGGUCUCGCCGGAGGCUUUGGUCCAAGCCUUGGCCGGGUUCUGACGGGGUGGAGAGGAGAUUUGUGCGGGUGGAGGUGGCAUAUCCGGAUGAUUUCUUCAUCUCCUUCGCUUCCACAGAGGACUGUGACAAGGUGCUAUCCUACACCGGGAAGGUCAGAUGUGCCGGAGCCCCAGUUGCAUUCCGGCGCUGGCACCGGAGUGCACAAGCGAGCAGCGCAGGUGUGGUCCGGGUUCAGGAACUGGACACGGGUGACAUUUCCGAUCCCCGAUGACAACUUCGGUAGCUCCGAGAACUGGUGGAUCAACGCGCGGAGAGGAAUUCCUAAGGCAGCCCGACGGAACUUCGACACGAUGACCAUCCUGAUCUACUGGCGAAUUUGGAAGGAAAGAAACGCCAUGAUUUUUCAACAGGUGGCUAGCAGCGUGGACAGGGUGCUGGAGCUCAUCCAAGAAGAUAUCACUGUCUGGCGAUCGGCUGGUUGUGUAGGCGACAUCGGCUAAUACACUGCAUGUUCCUUUUCUAUUGUAGCCUGCCUAUGGCUUCAGCCGGGACCUUUUCUCUUCUUGUUUUGAGCUUAGGCUCGGUUGGCUGUCAGUUCUAGAUUGCCUAGAAGGUCAGCCUGGAUGUACUCUUUUCAUUCUAUCUAAUAAAAGAUCGGCCAACAGCCCUUCGAUAGGCUCA
Molecule: RNA transcript, 1483 nt
Organism: Triticum aestivum (bread wheat)
Lineage: Eukaryota; Viridiplantae; Streptophyta; Magnoliopsida; Poales; Poaceae
Exons: 2
Source: RefSeq, a predicted model, not a curated record